UGGGGAAUUUUGCACAAUGGGGGAAACCCUGAUGCAGCGACGCCGCGUGAUUUAGAAGGCCUUCGGGUUGUAAAAAUCUUUUCUAUGGGAAGAAAACGACAGUACCAUAGGAAUAAGGACCGGCUAAUUACGUGCCAGCAGCCGCGGUAAUACGUAAGGUCCGAGCGUUGUCCGGAAUCAUUGGGCGUAAAGGGUACGUAGGCGGGUAAGCAAGUUAGAAGUGAAAUCCUAUAGCUCAACUAUAGUAAGCUUUUAAAACUGCUCAUCUUGAGGUAUGGAAGGGAAAGUGGAAUUCCUAGUGUAGCGGUGAAAUGCGCAGAUAUUAGGAGGAAUACCGGUGGCGAAGGCGACUUUCUGGCCAUAACCUGACGCUGAGGUACGAAAGCGUGGGUAGCAAACAGG
RNAcentral lists this ribosomal RNA (402 nucleotides) under bacterium. RNAcentral describes it as "partial 16S ribosomal RNA". It matches the Rfam family "Bacterial small subunit ribosomal RNA", at positions 355 to 776 of the family's 1533-position model. The record is from RNAcentral.